This is a long non-coding RNA of Hordeum vulgare subsp. vulgare (domesticated barley), 2404 nucleotides long. RefSeq lists it as uncharacterized. NCBI's taxonomy places the organism in Eukaryota, Viridiplantae, Streptophyta, Magnoliopsida, Poales, Poaceae. The record is from RefSeq and is a predicted model, not a curated record. The transcript has 4 exons.
AGGGGUAGAAAGGUGGAGCGCCGUCGAGUUCAAAGAGCAGACGUCGUGGAGGACUCUAGGUCGUCGUCGUGACACCGCUGCCGAGGUCCACCAUCGCCACCAUCAAUUUCCAAGAGGGGCAUCACCGCAGGCCUCUUUGACUGCAGCCAGAGCUCGAUGGCCGGGGCAAGGCGUUAGUCUCGGCCGGGAUCCGCCGCUGCCCGUCGUCUUCACCGUUCGACAGUUCUCUGCUCCCCCGAUCCCACUACCCUCCAUGGCGUCGUCUCUGCAUCGCCAUUCAUCGUUGAAGAUCGCCCGCCUCUCUUGCGCGGGAUCGACGCGAUUGCCACCAGGAAAGGCAUCAUCGCUGCUGUCGUGCAAGGUAACUGGCCACCUCCUCUCUUUUUUAGUAAUUGUACGGUGUACUCCAUGGCAUACUAAUAACUGUUUCUCCUCAAUCCACGCUCGCCUCAACACUACUACCAUAAUAUUUGGUCAUUACUCAAUUUGCUCGAGGAGGCUAGCUGGGCGAAUUAUUAUACAUAUUAUAUGUUGAGCAGGCUGCAGGAAGAUUGUCCACCACUUCUACAUUCUGGGAUUCCUCUCAUAAUCUAUUUCGAGUGGUUCCCAUAAGGCCAUAGGCCCAUUCCUCGCCAAGGUAACCGGUAAUCACAGCCGGUCCUAAUUAUUCCCAGACAUCAGUAAAGAUUGAUGUUAUCUAUUUAAUAAGUUGUAUGUGUUUCUCUUACCUGCAUUUUUGUCUCCUUUUAGUUUAUGGCAUUGAUGUGUGAAUCAAGUUCAGGAUCUUAGACAAUGUUGUGAGUGGUGUAGCCCAAGCUUGGUUUAUUGAUUUGUCUUUUUUAAUUAUGUUAUUGAUAUUCUUUGCGUCGUGGGUGAUCUUAUGGAUAGUUAUAUAUACCUCAGCAAACACAAAUGGAUGAGAAGAUUAACUAAGGAGUACAAAAGUUGAAGGCCCGUGAACCGUGAUAGACAACAAUGAGCAGAUCUGAUCCUAUUGCCUUGGUAUUUGGAGCGACAUCGUGGCAUUGCUUUUGAUGGUGGUGGUCGGCGAGCACCUGGAGUCGAUGUAAUAGCCGAAACUAUUUAAACGGGAGCAGCAACACGCAUUGGGAAUACAAUCUCGAUGUUGGGGUUGUUUUGUGCAUGUGCUCUAAUAAGUCGAUGUGUCUGCGAACUUGCUCACCGUCUCCACGACAGCUACUGUAUGCACCCGCGACUGAGAGCCACCCCUCACUACCGCCGUGCCCAGCCACACCCACUAUGUUCUACAAUAUUGCGGUGACUUUAUAAUGAUUGUUGCCCAAUUUAUCUUCAUUUCUUUUGGAGACUCAACAAAUUUCAUCCAAAUUAUUACGAAUGGUCAGUAGAUAUUAAGUUUUUUGGAGAUUCAAAAUGGUGUGCUAUAGUGAUGACCAGUAUCAAUGCUUUGAUCAUAUUUUGCACAUAGUUUUUCUCUUCUCUCGAAAUAGAGUGAAACCAUUUUGGGGAUUUCAUAGUGGAACCAACGGAAAGCAAGGUGGGGAUGAAAGCUCAAGGGAAGUAGGGAAUACCAGAAGAUCUGACUCACUGUCGCCUAAUCUAGGCGCUGGCCGGCCGAAGUAAUGAAGGGUGACAUAGGGAGGGUUGAGAGACGCCGAACUUUUCAGCUAAAGUGGUGCCUGUAUAUUGGACAAGCAAGACACUCAAAAAUAGAUUCAGCAUGGUUCCUGCACUUCCAACUUUUCAUGGUUCACUUCACGUAAAAUGAACCUUGUUCGUUAUUGGGCAUCUGUGGUGGUUCGCGACUCUGCGAGAAGAUGAUCGAGGGUCGGCGGUGUGGCUGCUUCGUCGUCAUCUUCGAUGAAUGCCACUCAAAAGAGAAUUCUGAAGCUGAUGAACUUGGAUGGCCAGACAGUCUAGCAUACCAACAGACAUCUCCACAUAAAUGGUGGCAUCUAUGGUGAUCAGGGAGGAUGACGUGAAGUGAACCAUGCUCGAUCGAAUGUCAGUGCUAAAUCUAACACUUGUAGAUGCCACUCAAAAGAGAAUGUUGAAGCUGAUGAACUUGGAUGGCCUGACAGUCUAGCAUUCCAACAGACAUCUCCACAUAAAUGUUGGCAUCUAUGGUGAUCAGGGAGGAUGACGUGCUAUGGCAGCAAUAAUAGCGCGGUGCCGCUAUCUCUCUCAUGAUUGAAUCACCCCAAUCUGAAAUUUGAGUGGAGUUCCCCAUGGCAAGUGAAUACCUUUCAAUUGGAUGCUUGAGGGAGAAGGGUACCCUAUGAUGCAAGUGGAUGGUUGUAUAUCUAUUGUAAAUCAAAGUUUAGAGAUAUAGCCAUGUUGAUCAUGUUUUUGUAUUGGGCUUCCUUGUUCAUUGGUAUUAGUAUUUUCUUGUGGAACACCAUGGCCUAACUUUGUUAUUUUAAUA